UACGCAUUAGUUCAAUUGGUAGAACACAACACUUUGACUGUUGAAGUUCCAAGUUCAAGCCUUGGAUGCGUAUCCA
This 76-nucleotide transfer RNA is filed under the name Caudoviricetes sp. RNAcentral describes it as "tRNA-Gln". It matches the Rfam family "tRNA". From Rfam's summary of the family: Transfer RNA (tRNA) molecules are approximately 80 nucleotides in length. Lineage: Duplodnaviria; Heunggongvirae; Uroviricota; Caudoviricetes. The record is from RNAcentral.